UACGUAGGGGGCAAGCGUUGUCCGGAAUCAUUGGGCGUAAAGAGCGUGUAGGCGGCCCGGUAAGUCCGCCGUGAAAGUCCAGGGCUCAACCCUGGAAUGCCGGUGGAAACUGCCGGGCUGGAGUCCGGAAGAGGCGAGUGGAAUUCCUGGUGUAGCGGUGAAAUGCGCAGAUAUCAGGAGGAACACCGGUGGCGAAGGCGGCAUCCUGGACCGAUAUUGACGCUGAGGCGCGAAAGCCAGGGGAGCAAACGGG
This 253-nucleotide ribosomal RNA is filed under the name uncultured bacterium. RNAcentral's name for it is "partial 16S ribosomal RNA". It matches the Rfam family "Bacterial small subunit ribosomal RNA", at positions 524 to 776 of the family's 1533-position model. The record is from RNAcentral.